RNAcentral lists this long non-coding RNA (1562 nucleotides) under Cyanistes caeruleus (blue tit). RNAcentral's name for it is "lncRNA (ENSCCEG00000012042.1)". Lineage: Eukaryota; Metazoa; Chordata; Aves; Passeriformes; Paridae. The record is from RNAcentral.
UCAGGGGUGACAGGGACACGCAGGUGCCACCACAGGGGUGACAGGGACACGCAGGUGUCACCACAGGGCUGACGGGGACACGCAGGUGUCACCACGGACACGCAGGUGUCACCACAGGGGUGACGGGGACACUCAGGUGCCACCCCAGACGUGACAGGGACACUCAGGUGCCACCACGGACACGCAGGUGUCACCACAGGGGUGACAGGGACACUCAGGUGCCACCCCAGACGUGACAGGGACACGCAGGUGUCACCAAACAGGUGUCACUGUGGUCACACAGGUGUCACCAUGGACACUCAGGUGUCACCACGGACAUGCAGGUGCCACCCCAGAGGUGACAGGGACACUCAGUGUCCCCAGAGUGUCCCCAAGUGACCCCAGAGUGUCCCCAAAGUGUCCCCAGAGUGUCCCCAGUGUCCCCAGUGUCCCCAAAGUGUCCCCAAAGUGUCCCAAAAGUGUCCCAAAAGUGUCCCCAAAGUGUCCCCAGAAUGUCCCCAGUGUCCCCAAAGUGUCCCCAAGUGUCCCCAGGUGUCCCCAGAAUGUCCCCAGGUGUCCCCAGAGUGUCCCAAAGUGUCCCAAAAGUGUCCCCAGGUGUCCCCCCAGGUGUCCCCAAAAUGUCCCCAGGUGUCCCCAAAGUGUCCCCAAGUGUCCCCAGGUGUCCCCAGGUGUCCCCAGAAUGUCCCCAGUGUCCCCAAAGUGUCCCCAGGUGUCCCCAGCCCAUCAGAACCACAGCAGCCGCUCCCUUCCAAAUUCUUUUAUUUCCGUUCUUUAAAAAAACCCCAAAACAGUAAAAAAAUAAAACCAAAACCGUAAAAAAACCCCAAAACUCCCGGAGGGGGAGGGGAUUCAGGAGCCUGGGGGGGUCCCCUGGGAAUUGGGGGUGAUCCUGGGGGGUCUCCCCUGGGAAUUUGGGGUGAUCCUGGGGGGUCUCCCCUCAAUCCUGGGGAAUUUGGGGCGGUGCCAGGGGGGUGUCCCCUCAAUCCUGGGGGGUCCCCUGGGAAUUUGGGGUGCUCCUGGGGCGUCUCCCCUCAAUCCAGGGGAACUGGGGGUGCUCCUGGGGGUCUCCCCUGGGAAUUGGGGGCAAUCCUGGGGGUCUCCCCUGGGAAUUUGGGGUGGAUUCUGGGGGGUUUCCCCUGGGAAUUUGGGGCGGUUCUGGGGGGUCUCCCCUCAAUCCAGGGGGGUCCCCUGGGAAUUUGGGGUGGAUUCUGGGGGGUCUCCCCUGGGAAUUUGGGGUGCUCCUGGGGGUCUGCCCUGGGAAUUUGGGGCAGUUCUGGGGGUCUCCCCUCAAUCCAGGGGGUCCCCUGGGAAUUUGGGGUGGUCCUGGGGGUCUCCCCUGGGAAUUUGGGGUGCUCCUGGGGGUCUCCCCUCAGUCCAGGGGGAUCCCCACAGACCCCAGAGCCUCCCGAGCCCAGGCCGGGGGUCCCCCGCGCCCCCCGUACAUGGUGGCCAUGAACUCCCGCACGAACUCCGGGAAGCGCCGCUGGACGAUGCUCUCCCGGAUGGAACCCAUCAGCUUCAUCUGAGGAGGGGUCCCGAGGCUCAGGGGGGGCUCUGAGACC